This 376-nucleotide ribosomal RNA is filed under the name uncultured bacterium. RNAcentral describes it as "bacterial SSU rRNA". It matches the Rfam family "Bacterial small subunit ribosomal RNA", at positions 28 to 402 of the family's 1533-position model. The record is from RNAcentral.
GACGAACGCUGGCGGCGUGCUUAACACAUGCAAGUCGAGCGAGGCCCUUCCUUCGGGAAGGUGUCCUAGCGGCGAACGGGUGAGUAACACGUGGGCAACCUGCCCUCCGCUCUGGGAUAACUCCGGGAAACCGGGGCUAAUACCGGAUAUGACCUCGGACGACAUCUUCUGAGGUGGAAAGAAUUUCGGCGGAGGAUGGGCCCGCGGCCUAUCAGCUUGUUGGUGGGGUAAUGGCCCACCAAGGCGACGACGGGUAGCCGGCCUGAGAGGGCGACCGGCCACACUGGGACUGAGACACGGCCCAGACUCCUACGGGAGGCAGCAGGUGGGGAAUAUUGCGCAAUGGGGACGAAAGCCUGACGCAGCGACGCCGCGU